GACGAACGCUGGCGGCAUGCCUAACACAUGCAAGUCGAGCGAGCAGAUCCCUUCGGGGUGAAGCUAGCGGCGGACGGGUGAGUAACACGUGGGCAACCUGCCUCAUAGAGGGGAAUAGCCUUCCGAAAGGGAGAUUAAUACCGCAUAAGAUUGUAGCUUCGCAUGAAGCAGCAAUUAAAGGAGUGAUCCGCUAUGGGAUGGGCCCGCGGCGCAUUAGCUAGUUGGUGAGGUAACGGCUCACCAAGGCGACGAUGCGUAGCCGACCUGAGAGGGUGAUCGGCCACAUUGGGACUGAGACACGGCCCAGACUCCUACGUGAGGCAGCAGUGGGGAAUAUUGCACAAUGGGGGAAACCCUGAUGCAGCAAUGCCGCGUGAGUGAUGACGGCCUUCGGGUUGUAAAGCUCUGUCUUUGGGGACGAUAAUGACGGUACCCGAGGAGGAAGCCACGGCUAACUACGUGCCAGCAGCCGCAGUAA
RNAcentral lists this ribosomal RNA (478 nucleotides) under uncultured bacterium. RNAcentral's name for it is "partial 16S ribosomal RNA". It matches the Rfam family "Bacterial small subunit ribosomal RNA", at positions 28 to 523 of the family's 1533-position model. The record is from RNAcentral.